UGAGGAACAUGACCUUCGGCGGGGGAUAGCCGGCCCAACGGCCGGGUAAUACCGCGUACGACCACAUGGGGACAUCCCUGAGUGGUGAAAGCAGCAAUGCGCCGAUGGAGUGCCUCGCGGCCUAUCAGCUAGUUGGUGAGGCAACGGCUCACCAAGGCGACGACGGGUAGCUGGUCUGAGAGGAUGGCCAGCCACAUUGGGACUGAGACACGGCCCAGAUCCUACGGG
This 228-nucleotide ribosomal RNA is filed under the name uncultured bacterium. Its description in RNAcentral is "partial 16S ribosomal RNA". It matches the Rfam family "Bacterial small subunit ribosomal RNA", at positions 118 to 345 of the family's 1533-position model. The record is from RNAcentral.